CCUACGGGUGGCAGCAGUGAGGAAUAUUGGUCAAUGGGCGGUAGCCUGAACCAGCCAAGUAGCGUGAAGGAUGAAGGCCCUACGGGUUGUAAACUUCUUUUAUAAAAGAAUAAAGUGCAGAAUGUAUGCCGUUUUGUAUGUACUUUAUGAAUAAGGAUCGGCUAACUCCGUGCCAGCAGCCGCGGUAAUACGGAGGAUCCGAGCGUUAUCCGGAUUUAUUGGGUUUAAAGGGAGCGUAGAUGGGUUGGUAAGUCAGUUGUGAAAGUUUGCGGCUCAACCGUAAAAUUGCAGUUGAUACUGGCAGUCUUGAGUACAGUAGAGGUAGGCGGAAUUCGUGGUGUAGCGGUGAAAUGCUUAGAUAUCACGAAGAACUCCGAUUGCGAAGGCAGCUCACUAAACUGCAACUGACACUGAUGCUCGAAAGUGUGGGUAUCAAACAGGAUUAGAUACCCUUGUAGUC
Molecule: ribosomal RNA, 460 nt
Filed under: uncultured bacterium
Lineage: Bacteria
Description: partial 16S ribosomal RNA
Rfam family: Bacterial small subunit ribosomal RNA
Source: RNAcentral